UAGGAGACGAACGGAGUUCACUUCCGGCCACCCUGCCGUCGUUGCCGAUUCAGACGAACCUAAUAAACCUAAGCCAAUAAAUAUUCGAUCUUCGAGCUUCAUAGGUUCCUUCCGUUUCAUCGAAUUGCUUUCAGCAUCACAACACACUUCUUCCACCACCGGAACUACUUCCAACGAAAUCGAAACGGCGUUAAUUAAGGGCAAAAUCUGGUAAGAAGCAAUCUAUAUCUUCUGGUGGCAAAAUUGCACAUUCUGCAGGAGCUUCAAUGAGCUUGCCUUAAAUAAGGUUCAAUAUGUAUAAGUAGGGAACGAUUGUCAAACAUCAUUCGAAGAAAGGUGUAACGGAAGAGGCUCUCACUAUAGUCUGCAGGCCCAUCAUCUCUUGUAUCCCCUGCAUCAAUUAACACAAGAGACUACUAAUGAGAUAAAUACAGAGCAUCAACAAACAAACAGAGUACAACAAAACAACGAACACUCAACCAGUUUUCUACAAACGAAUUUGCAAGUUAUACUCUAAUAAUUCCAAGCCAAUGUGCAAAUUGUGGUUGGAACUGUGAAAAGCUGUAGUUAGAUUUCUUCAGUGAAUCAAGAUGUGCUCCAUUGACAUUCCACUCUAAAAUAUGGCUUCACAUUGGAUGUUAGAAAUAAAGUAAGGGCAAAAUCUGGUAAGAAGCAAUCUAUAUCUUCUGGUGGCAAAAUUGCACAUUCUGCAGGAGCUUCAAUGAGCUUGCCUUAAAUAAGACCGUCCAAGUAUGGAUGGAAACCCGUGGAUGCUGAAAUCCAGAAGAAAGAUGUAAUGGAAGAGGCUCUCACUAUAGUCUGCAGGCCCAUCAUCUCUCGUAUCCCCUGCAUCAAUUAACACAAGAGACUACUAAUGGUACUUGUUUAAUUAAAUACACUUAUGACUCUUUCAAUAUGCAUAAAUUAAAUAGGUUGUUUUGUUUUCAUUCAGACAACAAAUUUUACGUAUGGCAAAUGAGUUAUUAGGAAAAAUAUGUGAUUGAUUUA
Molecule: long non-coding RNA, 1008 nt
Organism: Helianthus annuus (common sunflower)
Lineage: Eukaryota; Viridiplantae; Streptophyta; Magnoliopsida; Asterales; Asteraceae
Exons: 8
Source: RefSeq, a predicted model, not a curated record